RNAcentral lists this unclassified non-coding RNA (383 nucleotides) under uncultured bacterium. RNAcentral's name for it is "contains 16S-23S intergenic spacer region". The record is from RNAcentral.
UCCCGGUUAACCCGGGCAGUCCCGUUAGAGUUCCCAGCAUCUUUCGACCUGAUGGCAACUAACGGUAAGGGUUGCGCUCGUUGCAGGACUUAACCUAACAUCUCACGACACGAGCUGACGACAGCCAUGCAGCACCUCUGCAACACCCUCGAAGGAGUCCUACUUUCAUAGGAUGAGCAGUUGCAAUUCCAGGCUAGGUAAGGUUCUUCGCGUUGCAUCGAAUUAAACCACAUACUCCACCGCUUGUGCGGGCCCCCGUCAAUUCCUUUGAGUUUCAACCUUGCGAUCGUACUCCCCAGGCGGAGAACUUAAUGCGUUAGCUGCGACACCAGAGGGGUCGAUUCCCCUGACAUCUAGUUCUCAUCGUUUACGGCGUGGACUAC